This 406-nucleotide ribosomal RNA is filed under the name uncultured bacterium. RNAcentral describes it as "partial 16S ribosomal RNA". It matches the Rfam family "Bacterial small subunit ribosomal RNA", at positions 30 to 526 of the family's 1533-position model. The record is from RNAcentral.
AUUGAACGCUGGCGGCAGGCCUAACACAUGCAAGUCGAGCGAGCGGCGUACGGGUGAGUAAUGUCUGGGAAACUGCCUGAUUGAGGGGGCUAACUCCUGGAAACGGUAUCUAAUACCCCAUACCAUCAGAUGCACCCAGAUGGGAUUAGCUAGUAGGUGGGGUAAAGGCUGACCUAGGCGAGGAUCACUUGCUGGUCUGAGAGGAUGACCAUCCACACUGGAGUGGAGACACGGCCCAGACUCCUACGUGAGGAAGCAGUGGGGAAUAUUGAACAAUGGGCGGAAGAAUGAUGCAGCGAUGCCGCGUGUAUGAAGAAGGCAUUCGGGUUGUAAAGUACUUUCAGUGGGGAGGCGUUACCAACAGAAGAAGCACGGGCUAACUCCGGGCCAGCAGCCGCGGUAAUAC